Molecule: RNA transcript, 2697 nt
Organism: Mangifera indica (mango)
Lineage: Eukaryota; Viridiplantae; Streptophyta; Magnoliopsida; Sapindales; Anacardiaceae
Gene name: putative disease resistance protein At3g14460
Exons: 8
Source: RefSeq, a predicted model, not a curated record
GAUAAUGAUUCAGAAGAUAGUAAGUAUUUUUCAUUAAUCUCUAAAAUAUUGGUUUUUAAAAUAUUGCAAGAAUUUAUUACCUAUUUUUUUUUUAUGAGGGUUGCAUAGCUGUGUCUUCCUCGAAAAACUUUGUAUUCAGGAUUGCCCAACUCUUGUUUCAUUUCCAGAGAUCAGUUUCUUUCCCAAUCUAAGUGAACUUGAGAUUAAAAAGUGCUGUAUGCUAACUUCCUUACCAGAAGGAAUGAAGCAUGGCAAUACAGGUCUUGAAAUUUUGUGGAUUGAAGAAUGCCAUUCUCUGACAUUCAUUGUAAAAGGUCAGCUACCUCCAUCUCUGAAACGACUUUCAGCAUUAAAUUGCGAGAAGUUGCAGAUUUUGUUUGAUGAUACAGAGGAUAUUUCUCCUCACUCAUCUUCAAUGACGCAAAAUGCGUUCAUUAACAACACCGGGACAUCUGCACUUGGCCGCUUGUAUAUUGACAAAUGUUCAUCUCUCACGGCUUUAUCUUUAAAAGGACAGCUACCUGUUUCACUUGCACAUCUUGAAAUUUAUGAUUGCUUAAAGCUGGCAUCAAUAGCAGAGAGAUUUGUCAACAACAUAUCUCUCAGAUAUAUAUGUGUCGAGAGAUGUGAAAUACUUAGUUCCUUGCCUCAGGGUCUAUGCAAUCUUAAUGGUCUUCGUGACUUUGAACUUCAGGACUGUCCAAACCUUGUUUGCUUCCCUGAAGGAGGGCUUCCCAACACCAUUUUAUCCGUUAGAAUCGUCAGAUGUGAGAAACUUAGAGAGCUUCCUGAAGGCAUUCACAAUCUCAACUGUCUCCAAUUUUUAUCAAUAACGCUAUGUCCGAGUAUCAAAUCAUUUCCAGUAGAAGGUUUUCCUGGCAACCUAGGAAUACUUUGUGUUUGUGAUAAUCUUGAAAUCUAUAAGACUUUGAAGGAGUGGGGAAUUCACAAGCUCACCUGCCUUACAAUGUUGUCUAUAGGUGGAUGUCCUGAUGUUGUAUCUUUUCCAGAAGAUGAGAUGGGAAUGAUGCUGCCAACCUCUUUAAUUGUCCUAUCCGUUGCAAAAUUUCCAAACUUGAAAUACUUAUCUUCUAGGGGUUUUCAAGACUUAGCUUCUCUUAAAACUUUGAUUAUCAAUGAUUGCCCACAGCUGUCAUCUGUUCCAGAGGGCCUAACAUCCCCAAUUUUGCAAUUACACAUUCUUGAUUGUCCUCUUCUGAAAAAACAAUGCACGAGGGAUAAAGGACGAGAAUGGCCUAAAAUAGCUGACAUCCCAGAAGUCACAUUAGAUUUCAAAUUCAUCUACGAUUCGGAGGAGGAAGAGGAUAUAUCAAGGAAAUUUAUAAUAAGAACUUUAUGAGGCAGUGAUACGCGGAUUGUUAGUCGAAGAUUGUUUGACUGAUCAACAAAGGUGAGUUUUCGAAAUGUCAACAACAUGUUUACACAAAAGCUGAUGGAUACACGAUAAAAAGCUGGUUGUAUAGUACGAGAGAAGAUGACAUGAUAGCCAGCAAAAUCUGUCUAAAUAUCAGGAAAACUUGUGCUACUUGAACUGGGCAAUUUUUGGGUUUCACAAGCAAUCAGCAGAUGGUCAGCAGUUUGGAACUUAUAGUCAAGUUCUCACUAAUGAAUGGCCUAGUGGGGUCACAAACAGAGCUGCCACAUCUGACAUACCCACUGGAAUCUCAGAUUCACUUGGCAGUGAUGUUACUGUAUCAGAGUUGGUGGCAGAGAUCAAGCCAGGGUAUGUGAUAUUUGUAGAUUAUUGCUUGGCAAUCAAUGUGCAUGACAAUAGUAAUGGUCCUCUAUGUUUACCAUUUGUGUUUUGAUGGCUGAUUCUUUACUCACCAAAAUCAUCAAAGAGGCUAUAAAGUUACAAAGGUUUAUGGUUGAUGAUGCAUCUUUUCUCUCAAUGAUGAUAUUGUGCUUUGCCUAAAGGCCCACUUGUUCAAGAUCAUGCGUUGAUAAUGCCUUUUGAGCACUCACCUAAUACCAUUUCUCUUUCCCAGAUAGCAAAAUUGAGCUUGGCAAAUUCCAAAGCAGUCUCAAGCUGUAUUAUAAAAAAAAAGGAGAGGAAACUGUUUUUUUAAAUGGGUUUCCAAACGUGGUACUCAUGCUAAUCUUCAGCUGAUAUUAUAUGUCAGUGGGGCAUUAAGGCCGUACCUAUUCCAUCAUCCAAGGCAACUGCUGUCCAAGUGAUAUUUAAGUUGGCUGCUGAAAAGUUGGGUUUUAAAUUUUUUGGCUAAAAAUCCAAUAAUAUCUCUGAUGGGAGAAAAUCAUUGAGGACGCAGUUCAAUAAAAACUUUAAUUUCUUUUAUACGGAACUCCCUGGAGGUACAAUUCUGUCACAUGUAGUAGAAGAGAAUGAAAGAUUCCCUGCCCAAUUUGGACGUGAGGUAGUCUACGUAGAUAUUGUUAGGUUCAGCGUAUAUGUAAGGAAGAAGAAAAGAGGAAGAGCAGGGAGAAAAAUAGCAGGAGAGACAAGUGUUAACAUCCUGGAAUCUGCAGGCGUCCAACAGCUAGCAUUUAAGAAGUGUGCAUCUCUGUUAUAGGAAAAGUUCUAUAAAUAGAUUGCACUCUGCAAUUUUUUCUUUCGAUGAAAGAAGUAGAUGCAUUUUUAAUUUUUGUUGUUUUUUAUAAGAAAGUUAGAGUCUUUUCAGUAUAUAUCAUGAGAUAACUGAUUUUACUGGACUGUCA